This 253-nucleotide ribosomal RNA is filed under the name uncultured bacterium. Its description in RNAcentral is "partial 16S ribosomal RNA". It matches the Rfam family "Bacterial small subunit ribosomal RNA", at positions 524 to 776 of the family's 1533-position model. The record is from RNAcentral.
UACGGGGGGGGCAAGCGUUGUUCGGAAUUACUGGGCGUAAAGGGCGCGUAGGCGGGUGGACAAGUCUCUCGUGAAAGCCCACGGCUCAACCGUGGAAUUGCGGGAGAUACUGUCUGUCUUGAGUCCGGGAGAGGAGGGUGGAAUUUCCAGUGUAGCGGUGAAAUGCGUAGAUAUUGGGUGGAGCACCGGUGGGGAAGGCGGCUCUCUGGUCCGGUACUGACGCUGAGGCGCGAAAGCUAGGGGAGCAAACGGG